Molecule: long non-coding RNA, 227 nt
Organism: Hibiscus syriacus
Lineage: Eukaryota; Viridiplantae; Streptophyta; Magnoliopsida; Malvales; Malvaceae
Exons: 3
Source: RefSeq, a predicted model, not a curated record
AGGUAGCUCCAACAGCAAGGAGAAGAGAUGCGAGACUGUCCUUUGCAUUUUUAUAUCCCGAUAAGAAUGGACGUUUUGUGGUGAGCGAGGUUGGGAAGACCUUUUCUUACGGUAAUGGGAGGCGAUUGGAUGACAUCAAAACCUUACAAGAACUUCUCUUCGAGAUGGGAGAUUACUUAGACGUGGCUAUUAUGUGAGAGAAGCAAAUGUACAAGAUGCAUGUUUUG